AAAUUUAAUGCAUUUCUUUCAGGUUGGCAUGCAGUAGGUGCCUCACCUGGUGUCUGUCACUGCUGGUGGUGCAACAGAUUGCUCCCUGCUGAAGGAAUAACUUUGGGAUAUCUAUAUGGAUGUCCUGCUACCAUUAAGCACAAGGAGAGAAGAUUUUCAUCUAGAGAGGUAGCCAAAUUAGUCAAGGAGGUACUGUGUCACCCUGGUGAUUCAAAGGGAAUCAAACAUGGGAAAUAAUCUCAACAUUUCAGACAUAGUUUUGUGCAAGACAGAGGGACAGGAAAAAUAAUCUUGACCUUCUGUAGAAGUUUAAAUGGAAACUUAAAGAUACCAGGCAUUCCUACAGGACGGAGAGGCUGCUUUUCAAUGAAAGAAUGGCACAGAUCCUUUUGCUAACAACAAGAUUCUCCGUCUUAUUAUCUUCAUGGAAUAUUAAAGCAAUGUAACACGUUGAAACAAUAUUGCAAAGGUUAUGACUGCAAUGUCUUUGACUCUAAUUAUGCCCUGCCUAUCUCUCUUCUGCCAAAGCCUAAAGUUGCUCUCACCUCAGUAGCUCUAGUUCCCAGCCACCAGCCUCCUCCUACCAUCAGUGGAGAUAAAAUCAUGUCAUCUCACAGCACUUAAUUCUGUUCCUAGAGUGUACCUAAUGAGUGUCCUGUUUGACCAGACUCCUCCAUUACCAGUGUUGGUUUCAGGUGAGGUGAAGCCAUUAUGUUCCGUGGUUGUCUCUUUACCUCAACUACAGCUAAUCAGAAGAGGGUCAAACAGACCUUUUAAAAUACCCACACAGAAAUUACUCAGUAAAGUGAAACAUUUUCUAACACUUUCUUGCCUUUUUCUCUCCUAAAACAAUUAUUAUCAUCUCUUAAUUGAGUUGUCACAGAUUCCAAGGUGUGUUGAUUACAGCUUUACGGGUUGUCAUUUGUGCGCUAAUCAUGUCUCAAUGACUUUCUCAGCUGUCUGGACUGAAGACUUUGCCUGUUUAAAAUGUUUUGGAAUCCAUCCACUUUGGCUUUUCUCUGGAUUUUUCAUGGCAUUGAAAAAUGCAGUUGGACAUUUAUCCCACUUAUUGGAGCCCUCAAUUUUAUUUCCAUCUGGAAUCACACACCAAUACUUGUGGGGCAAUUAACUUGGCUGAGGAAACUAUUAUGGAACUGGUCCUUUGAACUUACUGAAUGUCUACUUAAUAGGGCCACGAAGACCAGCAGGAUAUGAAACAACACUUCCAUUGUCAUUCUUCCAAGCCACUACAUUGGAAAUAUUAAUGGAGAGAUUCCAAGAGUGCUCUUGAAGCUAUUGGAGCCAACGCGUGACAGCCAGAGGAAAAAGAGGAGUGGACAACGGAUUGGAGAUGUCAAGGCAGGCAUGUACAGCGAGGAGAAACAUCUGCUGAUGCUAUUGAAGAAUUGAUGGAAAGAGGAAACAAGGCUGGGCACAGACAGAUCUCCACAGUGGAGCUACAUUGGCUGAGUUUGCUGCCAAAGCGUUACAAACAAAAGGUGGAAAAGGGGAGGUGGGUAAUCCAUUAGCAUGUUCUUUGCAUUUAUCAUCUAACACGAUAGCUGGUAGAGUCUGAAUUCCUGGACAGCCUCAUCUCUGGCUGAAUGGACUAAUUGCUUCCUGCU
Coturnix japonica (Japanese quail) is the source of this 1625-nucleotide non-coding RNA. The record is from RefSeq and is a predicted model, not a curated record. NCBI's taxonomy places the organism in Eukaryota, Metazoa, Chordata, Aves, Galliformes, Phasianidae.